UUGUUGCAGGACUUCUUUAACGGGAGGGAACUCUGUAAGAGCAUCAACCCGGACGAGGCUGUUGCUUAUGGAGCUGCUGUGCAAGCUGCAAUCUUGAGUGGUGAAGGGAAUGAGAAAGUUCAGGACCUUCUGCUGUUGGAUGUUACACCUCUUUCCCUUGGUCUGGAGACUGCUGGAGGUGUUAUGACCACCUUGAUUCCAAGGAACACCACGAUUCCGACUAAGAAAGAGCAGGUGUUUUCGACCUACUCCGACAAUCAACCUGGUGUGUUGAUUCAAGUUUAUGAAGGUGAAAGAGCCAGGACCAGAGAUAACAACUUGCUGGGUAAGUUUGAGCUCACUGGCAUUCCUCCAGCACCAAGAGGUGUCCCCCAAAUCACUGUAUGCUUCGACAUUGAUGCAAAUGGUAUUCUAAAUGUCUCUGCUGAGGAUAAAACAACUGGUCAGAAAAACAAGAUCACCAUCACCAAUGACAAAGGAAGACUGUCUAAAGAUGAGAUUGAGAA
Molecule: long non-coding RNA, 506 nt
Filed under: Solanum lycopersicum (tomato)
Lineage: Eukaryota; Viridiplantae; Streptophyta; Magnoliopsida; Solanales; Solanaceae
Description: long non-coding RNA (SLYC_LNC001434)
Source: RNAcentral